Molecule: transfer RNA, 77 nt
Filed under: Chitinophagaceae bacterium
Lineage: Bacteria; Pseudomonadati; Bacteroidota; Chitinophagia; Chitinophagales; Chitinophagaceae
Description: tRNA-Arg
Rfam family: tRNA
About the family: Transfer RNA (tRNA) molecules are approximately 80 nucleotides in length. Their secondary structure includes four short double-helical elements and three loops (D, anti-codon, and T loops). Further hydrogen bonds mediate the characteristic L-shaped molecular structure. tRNAs have two regions of fundamental functional importance: the anti-codon, which is responsible for specific mRNA codon recognition, and the 3' end, to which the tRNAs corresponding amino acid is attached (by aminoacyl-tRNA synthetases). tRNAs cope with the degeneracy of the genetic code in two manners: having more than one tRNA (with a specific anti-codon) for a particular amino acid; and 'wobble' base-pairing, i.e. permitting non-standard base-pairing at the 3rd anti-codon position.
Source: RNAcentral
UCCCGGUUAGCUCAGAAGGUUAGAGCCGUGCCAUUCGUUCGGCACAAGGGUCGCAGGUUCGAGCCCUGCACCGGGAU